CCUACGGGAGGCAGCAGUGAGGAAUUUUGCGCAAUGGGGGCAACCCUGACGCAGCGACGCCGCGUGAGUGAAGAAGGCCUUCGGGUUGUAAAGCUCUGUCAGAGGGGACGAAUAAGCGGAGUCUAACAGGCUUACGCGAUGACGGUACCCUCAGAGGAAGCACCGGCUAACUCUGUGCCAGCAGCCGCGGUAAUA
This 195-nucleotide ribosomal RNA is filed under the name uncultured bacterium. RNAcentral's name for it is "partial 16S ribosomal RNA". It matches the Rfam family "Bacterial small subunit ribosomal RNA", at positions 338 to 525 of the family's 1533-position model. The record is from RNAcentral.